Molecule: long non-coding RNA, 392 nt
Organism: Cheilinus undulatus (humphead wrasse)
Lineage: Eukaryota; Metazoa; Chordata; Actinopteri; Labriformes; Labridae
Exons: 4
Source: RefSeq, a predicted model, not a curated record
GAAGAUUAAUUCAGUUCAGGCUGGGUCCAGAAGAGUCAACACAUUUCUGCCUUGUUCUGCAGUUUGGGGACAAGGAAUAGAAGACAGAAUAUUGGUUUGGACGAACUGAGACCACUGAUGGACAUCACUGCAGCGUGCAGAGCAAUGAAGACAAGAUAUUAAAGAGGACUGAUCAUACUGUUGGUCAUACCUGAAAAAUGGGGAAUCGACAACCACGCAAUUGUAACACAUGUAACCGUGUGUUACCUCCAUACAGAAGAUACCCUGUAUACAGACCAGGACUAUACCUUGGACUAUAUAGCAAUAUUCCAAUUUACCAGUGCUCAUAUUGUGUUUAUACGCAAAUCAGAGAUCAGGAGGAGCAGAGGAGACAAGAAGAGGAGAGGAGACAA